Molecule: ribosomal RNA, 1074 nt
Filed under: Triticum aestivum (bread wheat)
Lineage: Eukaryota; Viridiplantae; Streptophyta; Magnoliopsida; Poales; Poaceae
Description: partial small subunit ribosomal RNA
Source: RNAcentral
AUGCUUAUUGAAACCUGGUCAAUAAAUUAUGAAGGUGGUUGUGUUUUCAGGUUGAAGAUUGGAGCUGCUGCACCGAGUAGGCCGCCUUGUCCAAGCCGCAUAAGUGCGUUCGAGAAGGCUGUGCGGAGUUUUGCGGAUAACCCAACCGAUAAUGUUAUCACGCCAGUUAUUGGCAUGACAUUCGACUCCGUGGGUGAAGCCUACGGCUUCUACAGUUUGUACUCCUGGGAGAAGGGUUUUGGCAUUCGUUAUGGGAAAAGCAGGCGGAAUGUAGAGAGGACCAAAUGCAUGCAGGAAAUAGUUUGUGGCUGCUAGGGCAAGGCUGUUGUCGAGAACACAAGGUCUUGUCGUUGCGAGUGCCCUGCUCUAAUAAGGCUGCUACGAGCGGAGGACAACGCAUGGUACAUUCGAGAGCAUAGAGAGACACACAACCACUUGUUGUCACCUAAUUUUGGUGAUACCAUCCACUGGCCCUCACACAAGCACAUAAUGUACACUAGAGAUCUUGUGAAGUAGUUAAGGCAAAACAAUGUGAACUUGGCAAAGGUGUAUAGUAUCAUUGGAGGUUUCUUUGGAUCAAUGGAAAAUGUUCUGUUCAAGAAGAGGUCAUUGCAUAAUUUGUGUGGGAAGAUAAACAGGGACCACACAGAAGACGGUGUAAAGAAGACAAUGGAUGUGUUUGUGGAGAUUGGAGCUAAAGAUCCGCACUUUACAUACAGGGUUCAGUCUGAUGAUGAGGGCAGGAUUAGGAAUCUGAUGUGGGCAAGUGGAAGCGGCAGGCUGCAGUACUCAUUUUUUGGGGAUGUCAUAACAUUUGACAUGACUUACCGGACUAAUCUGUACGACAUGCCUUUUGGGCUGUUCGUAGGGGUGAACAAUCACUUUUGAAGUGUGAUCCUAGCAGGUGUGCUCGUGCGUGAUGAAACUGAAGAUAGUUUUGUGUGGGUUUUCUCGGAAUUCCUUAGAAUGAUGGGCGGUUCUCCACCUGUGACCAUACUGACAGGUAGUUUUUUUUCAUUUGAGGUGAUAAAAUGUCACAUAUCGAUACAUAAUUACAAGUGUUUUGUCUGGUGA